RNAcentral lists this ribosomal RNA (253 nucleotides) under uncultured bacterium. RNAcentral describes it as "partial 16S ribosomal RNA". It matches the Rfam family "Bacterial small subunit ribosomal RNA", at positions 524 to 776 of the family's 1533-position model. The record is from RNAcentral.
UACGGAGGGUGCGAGCGUUGUCCGGAAUCACUGGGCGUAAAGGGCGCGUAGGUGGCCGCUUAAGUGUGUGGUGAAAGCCCGGGGCUCAACCCCGGGUCGGCCAUGCAAACUGGGCGGCUUGAGCAUUGUAGAGGCAGGCGGAAUUCCGGGUGUAGCGGUGGAAUGCGUAGAGAUCCGGAAGAACACCGGUGGCGAAGGCGGCAUCCUGGACCAACACUGACACUGAGGAGCGAAAGCCAGGGGAGCAAACGGG